AACGUAAAUUACACGGAACUGUAGUGAUACAUUUAAGCACCAUAAUUGCAGGUUUAGUCGCACACCGACUUUGGACCCAUGACUUUUUUGGUAUGUAUUACCCUGUAUAGGUUUUUUUUUACAGUUACCGAAGAAUAACAUUAUAAUACUCGGUCUCGGGUGCAAUGAAUCAACAUUCGACCUUUCUGUUUUUUUUUUUUUAAAAAGAGUUACAGAUGGUUAUAUAAAGAAUAUGCCUUCGUGCUUCUUGUCUGGGAUUGAUUGCAAGGAUCGGGAAUACAUUU
Molecule: small nucleolar RNA, 284 nt
Filed under: Hanseniaspora valbyensis NRRL Y-1626
Lineage: Eukaryota; Fungi; Ascomycota; Saccharomycetes; Saccharomycodales; Saccharomycodaceae
Source: RNAcentral